This 253-nucleotide ribosomal RNA is filed under the name uncultured bacterium. RNAcentral's name for it is "partial 16S ribosomal RNA". It matches the Rfam family "Bacterial small subunit ribosomal RNA", at positions 524 to 776 of the family's 1533-position model. The record is from RNAcentral.
UACGGGGGGGGCAAGCGUUGUUCGGAAUUACUGGGCGUAAAGGGCUCGUAGGCGGCCAACUAAGUCGGACGUGAAAUCCCCAGGCUCAACCUGGGAACUGCGUCCGAUACUGGAUGGCUUGAAUCCGGGAGAGGUGAGUGGAAUGCCGAGUGUAGAGGUGAAAUUCGUAGAUAUUCGGCGGAACACCAGUGGCGAAGGCGACUCACUGGCCCGAUACUGACGCUGAGGCGCGAAAGCGUGGGGAGCAAACAGG